Molecule: ribosomal RNA, 1367 nt
Filed under: Acinetobacter sp. I_55-G7P2C6A
Lineage: Bacteria; Pseudomonadati; Pseudomonadota; Gammaproteobacteria; Moraxellales; Moraxellaceae
Description: bacterial SSU rRNA
Rfam family: Bacterial small subunit ribosomal RNA
Source: RNAcentral
AGUCGAGCGGAGAGAGGUAGCUUGCUACUGAUCUUAGCGGCGGACGGGUGAGUAAUGCUUAGGAAUCUGCCUAUUAGUGGGGGACAACAUUUCGAAAGGAAUGCUAAUACCGCAUACGUCCUACGGGAGAAAGCAGGGGAUCUUCGGACCUUGCGCUAAUAGAUGAGCCUAAGUCGGAUUAGCUAGUUGGUGGGGUAAAGGCCUACCAAGGCGACGAUCUGUAGCGGGUCUGAGAGGAUGAUCCGCCACACUGGGACUGAGACACGGCCCAGACUCCUACGGGAGGCAGCAGUGGGGAAUAUUGGACAAUGGGCGGAAGCCUGAUCCAGCCAUGCCGCGUGUGUGAAGAAGGCCUUAUGGUUGUAAAGCACUUUAAGCGAGGAGGAGGCUACUUUAGUUAAUACCUAGAGAUAGUGGACGUUACUCGCAGAAUAAGCACCGGCUAACUCUGUGCCAGCAGCCGCGGUAAUACAGAGGGUGCAAGCGUUAAUCGGAUUUACUGGGCGUAAAGCGCGCGUAGGCGGCUAAUUAAGUCAAAUGUGAAAUCCCCGAGCUUAACUUGGGAAUUGCAUUCGAUACUGGUUAGCUAGAGUGUGGGAGAGGAUGGUAGAAUUCCAGGUGUAGCGGUGAAAUGCGUAGAGAUCUGGAGGAAUACCGAUGGCGAAGGCAGCCAUCUGGCCUAACACUGACGCUGAGGUGCGAAAGCAUGGGGAGCAAACAGGAUUAGAUACCCUGGUAGUCCAUGCCGUAAACGAUGUCUACUAGCCGUUGGGCCCUUUGAGGCUUUAGUGUCGCAGCUAACGCGAUAAGUAGACCGCCUGGGGAGUACGGUCGCAAGACUAAAACUCAAAUGAAUUGACGGGGGCCCGCACAAGCGGUGGAGCAUGUGGUUUAAUUUGAUGCAACGCGAAGAACCUUACCUGGCCUUGACAUAGUAAGAACUUUCCAGAGAUGGAUUGGUGCCUUCGGGAACUUACAUACGGUGCUGCAUGGCUGUCGUCAGCUUGUGUCGUGAGAUGUUGGGUUAAGUCCCGCAACGAGCGCAACCCUUUUCCUUAUUUGCCAGCGAGUAAUGUCGGGAACUUUAAGGAUAUUCCCAGUGACAAAUUGGAGGAAGGUGGGGACGACGUCAAGUCAUCAUGGCCCUUACGGCCAGGGCUACACACGUGCUACAAUGGUCGGUACAAAGGGUUGCUACCCAGCGAUAGGAUAAUAAUCUCAAAAAUCCGAUCGUAGUCCGGAUUGGAGUGUGCAACUCGACUCCAUGAAGUCGGAAUCGCUAGUAAUCCCGGAUCAGAAUGCCGCGGUGAAUACGUUCCCGGGCCUUGUACACACCGCCCGUCACACCAUGGGAGUUUGUUGCACCA